GCCAAAGCAAUUCUUUUCCAGUAGCUGGGAGC
Molecule: non-coding RNA, 32 nt
Filed under: Homo sapiens (human)
Lineage: Eukaryota; Metazoa; Chordata; Mammalia; Primates; Hominidae
Source: RNAcentral